Paramarasmius palmivorus is the source of this 66-nucleotide non-coding RNA. Lineage: Eukaryota; Fungi; Basidiomycota; Agaricomycetes; Agaricales; Marasmiaceae. The record is from the annotation of a GenBank genome assembly.
GCUUCCCUAGUCUAGUGGGUUAGACGGCCUAUGAGUUCGUCGCAAGUUCAAGCCUUGCAGGGAGCA